UGAUUUUAGUGGGGAAGUUCCUAUAAAGAUAGAAAAAUAAAGUCAAGUAGCCAUAUUCAUACUAGUUGUGGAAAUGGAUUGUGUUCAAUUUAUAGUAAAAGCAUUUUGUUCUGCUAUAGCGAUUAUUCUAUUGUUGUGUCUAUGGAGAGUUCUGAAUUGGAUUUGGUUCAGACCGAAGAAAUUGGAGAAGUUACUGAAAGAACAAGGUGUGAAGGGCAAUUCGUACUCGAUAUUGUAUGGGGACACAAAAGAACUUUCUCUGAGGAUUAAAGAAGUUACAUCCAAAUCCAUGAGUCUUUACGAUGAUGAUAUAGCACAAAGAUCGAUGCCUUUCUUUCUUGACACCAUCAACAAAUAUGGGAAGAAAUCAUUUAUAUGGUUGGGUCCAAAACCACUGGUGUUCAUCAUGGAUCCUGACCUUAUAAAGGAAGUAUUCACAAAAACAUACAUUUAUCAAAAGACGAAAACAAAUCCGUUAACCAAGUUACUUGCACAAGGACUAGUAAGAGAGGAGGGAGACAAAUGGGCUAAACAUAGAAAAAUCAUCAAUCCCGCCUUCCAUCUAGAGAAGCUUAAGCAUAUGCUUCCAGCUUUUUGUUUGAGCUGUACUGAGAUGCUGAGCAAAUGGGAAGACAUUGUUUCGGUUGAGAGAUCACACGAGAUAGAUGUAUGGCCUCACCUUCAACAAUUGACUAGUGAUGUGAUCUCUCGAACAGCUUUUGGCAGUAGCUAUGAAGAAGGUAGAAGAAUAUUUGAACUUCAAACAGAACAAGCUCAGUAUUUCAUUGUUAUAUCCCAGGGUGGAGUUUUUUGCCAACAAAGAGGAAUCGAAGAAUGAAGGAAAUCGAAAAGCAUGUUCAGGCUACAAUUAGAGGUAUUAUUGAUAAAAGAGUGAAGGCAAUGAAAGGAGGAGAGGCGAAUAACGAGGAUCUACUUGGUAUAUUGCUCGAAUCAAAUUUUAAAGAAAUCGAACAGCAUGGAGACAAGGAUUUUGGACUUAGCAUUGAAGAAGUCAUUGAAGAAUGCAAGUUGUUCUAUUUUGCUGGACAAGAAACUACAUCGGCGUUGCUUGUAUGGACUCUAAUUUUGUUGUGCAGGCAUCAUGAUUGGCAGACACGGGCAAGAGAAGAGGUGUUGCAAGUGUUUGGGAAUCGGAAACCAGAUUUUGAUGGACUGAAUCAUCUAAAAGUUGUGACAAUGAUCUUGUACGAGUCAUUAAGGUUAUACCCUCCAGUAAUGACAGUUACACGCCGGCUUAAUGAAGACACUGUACUAGGAGAUAUGUCUCUACCAGCAGGUGUGCUACUCUCCUUACCAGCGGUCUUAUUACAUCACGAUGAAGAGAUAUGGGGUGAAGAUGCAAAGAAAUUCAAUCCAGAGAGAUUUAGAGAAGGUGUCUCAAGUGCAACGAAGGGUCAAGUCACUUUCUUCCCAUUUACAUGGGGUCCUAGAAUAUGCAUUGGACAAAACUUCGCCAUGUUAGAAGCAAAGAUGGUGUUGGCUAUGAUCCUACAACGUUUCUCGUUCGAUUUAUCUCCAUCUUAUGCUCAUGCUCCUCAUUCCGUUAUAACUACGCAACCCCAAUAUGGUGCUCCACUUAUUCUGCACAAAUAUAGUUUGUACUUGUAAGCAGUGUCUUGUUAUAUGUUUUAGAGUGUGUCCAAAUAUGGUUAAUAAAGGCUUGUAGAAUUGCCUAUUGUUUGUUUUAGAGUUUUAAGUGUGCAGACACUGUAUGAUAGUAUAUGGAGAAUCUACCACAUCCAAGUAAUUUACUUACGAGCAGUGGCGGAGCCAGAAAUUUUAUCAAGGGUGUCCAAGAAUAAUGGUGUGUGGCUGUCAAAAUAAAUAAAAAAUAU
This is an RNA transcript of Solanum stenotomum, 1856 nucleotides long. It is a transcript of the gene named cytochrome P450 CYP72A219-like, with no coding region annotated. The transcript is spliced from 5 exons. The record is from RefSeq and is a predicted model, not a curated record. Lineage: Eukaryota; Viridiplantae; Streptophyta; Magnoliopsida; Solanales; Solanaceae.